Molecule: RNA transcript, 1502 nt
Organism: Eupeodes corollae
Lineage: Eukaryota; Metazoa; Arthropoda; Insecta; Diptera; Syrphidae
Exons: 4
Source: RefSeq, a predicted model, not a curated record
UAUCAAAAAAAAAAAUAUAAAUCUCAUUCGAAUAUUUUCAAGCUCACGAAAAGCACGUAACAAAAUUUUUAGUGAAAAUUAAAAAUACAAAUUCAAAAGUUAAUUCUAUAAAAAAGAAAUCACCCAUUCAUUUCCUUUAAGCAAUUUUGAAAUAUUUUAAAUUACAACAAAAUGUGUGAUAUGCCAAUUCCAUUUGGAAAUGAAUUUGGUGCCAGUGGUGGUGGAGGUGGAAUGCCUGGACCAUAUGAGAAAUCAUCAUCGAUGGACAAUGAUGUUUCGAAGUCACCAAAACUCGAACCAAUUCGUUCAUCAUCAACUCAUGUUCCACGAUACACCAAGCCAAAUAAUCCUUCUGUAUAUCAGCCACCAAGGAAAUCUUCUCAAAUUCCGGAAAUGGACCACAAUUUUUCUCCUUCAUAUUAUCCUGAUUCAAAUGUACAAGCUGGUCCUUCGGUACUCCCUGAACAAGGGUACGAGUAUUUCCCAGUAUCCGGUCCGAUUUCUCAAAGUAUGCAUCAAAUGUAUGGACAAGAGCCUUCAGGAAAUUAUUACCAGCAGCAAUUGCCAUCUUACCAAUAUCAACCAAUUCAGAUGAGACCUAUGACACAACAGUCUUUUCCGCCUUUAGGAAUGAGUGAUCCCAGAACUGCAAAUUACUCGUUUGAUAUGAAAAGGAAUUCCCAUACAACCUGUGAGAAAUGUGGAUCUUUUUGCUCUCCCAAUACUUUCAAUCAAAGCUUUAUGCCACCAAUGGAGAGUAUGGAACCCCAGGGAUUCAUGCCCGAAUUCACCCAACCUUCCGGUCGUCCUGAUAGAUUUUACUAUCCACCACAAAACAUGCCCCCAAAUCGAAAUCAACGAGAUCAUAUUCUUUUCUAAAGCUUAUCAAGCCCCUCAACAACAACAGCAAUAAAAACGUUUUCAACAAAUAUGAACUUCGAGCAAGUCGUUUGUAUACAAAUUGUGAUUGUUUUCGAAGAAAUGGUCUCCAAGACACUUGUUCUCAUUCAAUAAGUCGCCAAGGAGAAUCUGGUGAUGGAUUUCACCAAGGACAACAAGAGCAACCUUUCCAGAACUACAUGCCUCCAACGUCAUAUCCUGGUGAAUCAAAUUCAAUGGCAAUGAUGGGUUUUCCAAAUCAAGGCUAUGAAGCAUCAGGUUUUGAAAAUGGUCUCGCCGGACAACAAUCAUCUAAUUUUUCGAAUUAUAACUCGAUGCCAAUGAAUGGUUAUCAGAAUAGUUAUCAAAAUACUAUGCAAAUGCCAAUUCAGAUGCCUAUGGGUAUUCAAGCUCCCCCUUCGUCUUAUUCUUCAGGACCUGGUAACUUAAUGCAAAAUGCUCAGAACUAUAAUAUGGGAAACCAAAGCAACUAUCCAUGCUACAUGUAGACAAGAUUGGGUUCUUGAAGAUUAGACCGAAAAAAGAUUUAAGUCUUAAAAUGUUUGAAUUUUAGAUGUUGAGAAAUAAAGAGACAAUUAUUGUUGUUGUUGUUAAAAAUAUAA